This 528-nucleotide ribosomal RNA is filed under the name uncultured bacterium. RNAcentral's name for it is "bacterial SSU rRNA". It matches the Rfam family "Bacterial small subunit ribosomal RNA", at positions 28 to 570 of the family's 1533-position model. The record is from RNAcentral.
AAUCAACGCUGGCGGCGUGCCUCAGACAUGCAAGUCGAACGAUUAAAGCUCCCUUCGGGGAGUGCAUAAAGUGGCGCACGGGUGAGUAACACGUAAGUAAUCUACCUCUGAGUGGGGGAUAACAUCGGGAAACCGAUGCUAAUACCGCAUAACGCAGCGGCACCGCAAGGUGACAGUUGUUAAAGAUUUAUCGCUUGGAGAGGAGCUUGCGGCAGAUUAGCUUGUUGGUAAGGUAACGGCUUACCAAGGCUACGAUCUGUAACCGGUCUAAGAGGGCGGUCGGUCACACUGACACUGAAUAACGGGUCAGACUCCUACGGGAGGCAGCAGUCGGGAAUUUUGGGCAAUGGGGGAAACCCUGACCCAGCGACGCCGCGUGAAGGAUGAAGUAUUUCGGUAUGUAAACUUCGAAAGAAUAGGAAGAAUUAAUGACGGUACUAUUUAUAAGGUCCGGCUAACUACGUGCCAGCAGCCGCGGUAAUACGUAGGGACCAAGCGUUGUUCGGAUUUACUGGGCGUAAAGGGCGC